GAUGAAGAACGUAGCGAAAUGCGAUAACUAAUGUGUAUUGCAGAAUUCCGUGAAUCAUCGAGUCUUUGAACGCACAUUGCGCCCCCUGGUAUUCCGGGGGGCAUGCCUGUCCGAGCGUCAUUGCUGCCCAUCAAGCACGGCUUGUGUGUUGGGUCCUCGUCCCCCCCGGGGGACGUGCCCGAAAGGCAGCGGCGGCACCGCGUCCGGUCCUCGAGCGUAUGGGGCUUUGUCACCCGCUCUGCAGGCCCGGCCGGCGCUGGCCGACGCGAAAGCAACCAUUUUUUCUCCAGGUUGACCUCGGAUCAGGUAGGGAUACCCGCUGAACUUAAGCAUAUCAAUAAGCGGAGGA
This 349-nucleotide unclassified non-coding RNA is filed under the name soil metagenome. RNAcentral's name for it is "partial contains 5.8S ribosomal RNA, internal transcribed spacer 2, and large subunit ribosomal RNA". The stretch from base 1 to 120 matches the Rfam family "5.8S ribosomal RNA", at positions 35 to 154 of the family's 154-position model. The record is from RNAcentral.